UUUUUUUUUUUUUUUUUUUUUUUUUUUUUUGUUAUUACAGGUUCAGUUGAUUAGGAUUGAUAUUAGAUUGCCUGAAUAUGGCUGGACAACUCAAAAGGUUUUCCACCUUAUGAAUUUCAUUGUAAAUGGAGUGCGUGCGGUUGUUUUUGGAUUUCAUAUGCAAGUGUUCCAUUUGCAUCCCAAGGUUUUCAUUUGGGCGCUUCUAGAAGUUCCGGGGUUACUUUUCUUUUCAACGUAUACUCAGGCAAG
Molecule: long non-coding RNA, 249 nt
Organism: Helianthus annuus (common sunflower)
Lineage: Eukaryota; Viridiplantae; Streptophyta; Magnoliopsida; Asterales; Asteraceae
Exons: 3
Source: RefSeq, a predicted model, not a curated record